This is a long non-coding RNA of Aricia agestis (brown argus), 285 nucleotides long. RefSeq lists it as uncharacterized. The record is from RefSeq and is a predicted model, not a curated record. The transcript has 3 exons. Lineage: Eukaryota; Metazoa; Arthropoda; Insecta; Lepidoptera; Lycaenidae.
AUAAAAGUGGAAAAAGUGCAUGAAAAGUGUAUAUUAUUACUGAGAAUUCUGAAAGAUGUUGAAAUUAACAGUCACGCCCAACUCGCGUAUAUUCGCCCGUUUGUUUGAAAUCGAGGUACUACUUGGUUCUGUCUACUCUGGUUGUACCACAGGUUGUACACACUCUGUUUCAUUUAAUUUUGAUCAACAAACAAUGUAUUGGUGGCUAUAAUGCUACGGAUUUGAAUAAAAACUAAAUACUAUACCACCAUGCAUUAAUAAAAUUGAAUCACAUCAAUAAUAAUU